AGGUUGCAGUGAGCCAAGAUCAAGCCAUUGUACUCCAGCCUGGCGACAGAGCAAGACUGAUCAAAAAGGAAAAGAAAAAAAAAAAGGCUAAUCAGAAACUCAAAACAAUGUCUCCCUGAAGCUCAUUUGCAACUUGGAUGCACCUCAGGCCCAUCAGAGCGCCUCCUCCCCUGGCAGCAGCUGAGCCAGGAACUUCAGAGACCCCUGGACACCACAUUCCGGUACCGGAGAGCCGGGAGAAGCAGGAGGGGUGACAAGAGCCCAUGUGCUGGGCACUACCCGCCUUGCCCUGCAGGGCCUGAGGCUGUGGAGCUAAAGCAGUUGGGUUCUGAGGUCAGAUCAGCCCCAGGCCACCCCCAGAUAGGCCUGUGAGCCUCUGUCCUCCCUGGUGGCCCUGAGCCUGUGUGCACGGCUGGGGUGGGAGUGGCCGGAGGAGGGGUGGAGAGAGGCCAGAGGGGACCACGGUUGAAGGGAGCAGCUGCCUAGUGUUGGGAGACCGCAGGAGGGGUGUGGCUGAGCCUCGCUCCGAUGCCCGCCUGCUGUCCACACUCACGCCUGGACACUGCCCACCUGCAGCCGCUGCACCAGGCCCACCCCCCAGCAGGCCCGUGGUGUUCACUGUAGUCCUGGCCCACUACCCUGCCCUGGGAGAUGGCCCCUGCGCCCACCCCUCCCCUGCCUCUCCAGCAGCGGCUCUCCCAGCCCCCACCCACCUCUGUGCCUUGGCACUCACACUGAAAGGGCCUCUUCUGUGGGCAUGCCGUGCCUUCCAGAACCCCGGGCUGGCCUGCUUUGCCCAUUCCCGAAAUCCAAUCCUGGCUCUCGCUCCUGCCCAUGCCUCUACCCCAAGCUCAUGUCCACCCAGCGGCCCCCGCACAGCCACCCAUGGGGUGCUGCCCUUAUGGGUCCUGGAGGCUGUGUCCACCCCACCCCUCGAUGCUGGGGGUCCAGGUGCCCAGGGCUCCCUGUCCCUUGCUCCCUCCCAGCCUCCACUCCUUUGCCUAAACCCAAGUCUUCCGGGUCAACCUGGCCAGCCGGUGGCGCUAUUGACACCGUCUUGGUGAGGCUGUGAAGGCAUCUUUGGCGGGGCGAAUGCCUACAAUCCGCUGACUUCAAGCAAAUACUAUUCUCCACGAGGGGCCUCUCCUCCUCAGCUGAAGCCAACUUCCCAGUGUCUGUACCUCCUACACGUUUCUCACCGGUGGUGUUUCUUGGCCAGAGCCUCGGUACCCCCCCCCCUCCCGUCCCAGCGCUUUCCCGGGAAGCCCGGGGCUGCCACGCGGGCUCCUUCCUCACUCCCUGGCCCAGCCCCGGCUCUGGGACAUGGCCUAGGGGUGUGUGGGAACUGGGGACCAGAGGACAGAGGGCAUCCCCUUCACGGCCCCCUGACUGGGUGGGGUGGAGCUGGAGAGCUUGCAGCUGCCAGGUCAGGGAGGAGGGAAAAAAGGACGGCGGUAGAGAUCACAUGCGGUUUAAUUGUGGGAGGCUGAGAGCAGCAUUUUUACCAAAUUGGUGUAAAAAUGAAACGGGGUCCAAACGUGUACACUGACAGUUACAGUAAAUUUCAAA
Gorilla gorilla gorilla (western lowland gorilla) is the source of this 1569-nucleotide long non-coding RNA. RefSeq lists it as uncharacterized. NCBI's taxonomy places the organism in Eukaryota, Metazoa, Chordata, Mammalia, Primates, Hominidae. The record is from RefSeq and is a predicted model, not a curated record. The transcript has 2 exons.